CUCUUAUCCAGAGAGGUGGAGGGACCGGCCCUGUGAAACCUCGACAACCUGAAAACCCUUUAAAAAGUGGGUUUUCAAGGUGCCAAGUCCGGCAGAACGAAUUCUGGAAGAUGAGAG
RNAcentral lists this non-coding RNA (117 nucleotides) under Bellilinea caldifistulae. Its description in RNAcentral is "SAM-I sequence". It matches the Rfam family "SAM riboswitch aptamer (S box leader)". From Rfam's summary of the family: The SAM riboswitch is found upstream of a number of genes which code for proteins involved in methionine or cysteine biosynthesis in Gram-positive bacteria. The SAM riboswitch acts at the level of transcription termination control. The record is from Rfam by way of RNAcentral. Lineage: Bacteria; Bacillati; Chloroflexota; Anaerolineae; Anaerolineales; Anaerolineaceae.